Molecule: unclassified non-coding RNA, 218 nt
Filed under: Melitaea cinxia (Glanville fritillary)
Lineage: Eukaryota; Metazoa; Arthropoda; Insecta; Lepidoptera; Nymphalidae
Description: misc RNA ENSMCXG00005007021.1
Source: RNAcentral
UGACGACAAUAUACUCGACUUCACCGAGGGGGAACUAAUUGACGAAUCGGAUGGCAAUAAAUACGAAGAAGAUGAGAAAGACGAAACAAAAGCUAAAAGAUUAAAGGUCACUGAAGUUUUUGAAAAAAACAAAAUAAUGUUCAUAAUAUGAACUUGAACAACACAAGAGACAGUAUAGCUGACCGUAUAAAUGAUGAAGAAGCGCUAGCAUUCAGGAG